UCCGAGUUGUCCCCGGCAGUCCUCUUAGAGUCCCCGACAUAACUCGCUGGCAACUAAGAGCAGGGGUUGCGCUCGUUGCGGCACUUAAGCCAACACCUCACGGCACGAGCUGACGACAGCCAUGCAGCACCUGUCACUCAUCCAGCCGAACUGAAGGAAACCAUCUCUGGAAUCCGCGACCGACAUGUCAAACGCUGGUAAGGUUCUGCGCGUUGCUUCGAAUAAAACCACAUGCUCCACCGCUUGUGCAGGCCCCCAUCAAUUUCUUUGAGUUUUAACCUUGCGGCCGUACUCCCCAGGCGGAUAACUUAAUGCGUUAGCUGCGCCACCGAAAGCCUAAGGCCCCCGACAGCUAGUUAUCAUCGUUUACGGCGUGGACUAC
This 382-nucleotide unclassified non-coding RNA is filed under the name uncultured Sphingomonadaceae bacterium. RNAcentral's name for it is "contains 16S-23S intergenic spacer region". Lineage: Bacteria; Pseudomonadati; Pseudomonadota; Alphaproteobacteria; Sphingomonadales; Sphingomonadaceae. The record is from RNAcentral.